UACGUAGGGUCCGAGCGUUGUCCGGAAUUAUUGGGCGUAAAGGGCUCGUAGGCGGUUUGUCGCGUCGGGAGUGAAAACCCAGGGCUUAACCCUGGGCUGGCUUCCGAUACGGGCAGACUAGAGGUAUGCAGGGGAGAACGGAAUUCCUGGUGUAGCGGUGAAAUGCGCAGAUAUCAGGAGGAACACCGGUGGCGAAGGCGGUUCUCUGGGCAUUACCUGACGCUGAGGAGCGAAAGUGUGGGGAGCGAACAGG
Molecule: ribosomal RNA, 253 nt
Filed under: uncultured bacterium
Lineage: Bacteria
Description: partial 16S ribosomal RNA
Rfam family: Bacterial small subunit ribosomal RNA
Source: RNAcentral